Molecule: ribosomal RNA, 484 nt
Filed under: uncultured bacterium
Lineage: Bacteria
Description: partial 16S ribosomal RNA
Rfam family: Bacterial small subunit ribosomal RNA
Source: RNAcentral
AUUGAACGCUGGCGGAAUGCUUUACACAUGCAAGUCGAGCGGCAGCACGGGGGCAACCCUGGUUGCGCGCGGCGAACGGGUGAGUAAUACAUCGGAACAUGCCCAGUCGUGGGGGAUAACACUUCGAAAGAAGUGCUAAUACCGCAUACGUCCUGAGGGAGAAAGCGGGGGAUCGCAAGACCUCGCGCGAUUGUAGUGGCCGAUGUCAGAUUAGCUAGUUGGUGGGGUAAAGGCCUACCAAGGCAACGAUCUGUAGCUGGUCUGAGAGGAUGAUCAGCCACACUGGGACUGAGACACGGCCCAGACUCCUACGGGAGGCAGCAGUGGGGAAUGUUGGACAAUGGGGGCAACCCUGAUCCAGCCAUUCCGCGUGAGUGAAGAAGGCCUUCGGGUUGUAAAGCUCUUUCGGCAGGAACGAAACGGCGAGCUCUAACAUAGCUUGCUAAUGACGGUACCUGAAGAAGAAGCACCGGCUAACUACGUG